Molecule: small nuclear RNA, 57 nt
Organism: Callithrix jacchus (white-tufted-ear marmoset)
Lineage: Eukaryota; Metazoa; Chordata; Mammalia; Primates; Cebidae
Gene: U7
Rfam family: U7 small nuclear RNA
About the family: Animal histone pre-mRNAs are spliced by a different mechanism than nuclear pre-mRNAs and self-splicing introns. This processing involves the U7 snRNP, which contains only one RNA species: U7.
Source: Ensembl
GAGUGUUACGGCUUUUUUGUCUAGCAGGCUUUCUGCUUUUUACUGGAAAGUGCCCCC